Molecule: transfer RNA, 68 nt
Filed under: Krisna furcata
Lineage: Eukaryota; Metazoa; Arthropoda; Insecta; Hemiptera; Cicadellidae
Description: tRNA-Arg
Source: RNAcentral
UAACAAAGAAGUAAUAAUAUACAUUUAAUUUCGACUUAAAUUUAGGAAAAUUAUAUUUCCCAUGUUUU